RNAcentral lists this long non-coding RNA (506 nucleotides) under Bos taurus (domestic cattle). Its description in RNAcentral is "long non-coding RNA NONBTAT025534". Lineage: Eukaryota; Metazoa; Chordata; Mammalia; Artiodactyla; Bovidae. The record is from RNAcentral.
CUUCAAAGUAUGUAUCAUGGCCAAACUAAUAGAUUAAAAACAAAGGAAAAUAACUGCCCUUCAUACACUACUGUGGGUGUGUUAAAGAAAUCACAAUUUAGAUGACAGAAAAAAAAAUGGUCAAAUGAAAAACUACUGAUACUUUCUCAUAUCAAUUUAUCUUCCUGGCAUAUUAAACAUCUUUAUGUAUAUAUUUUUGUUUAAAAAAGAAAAGACCUGGAAUCCCCAAAAUGACUAAAUCUAGUAAAAUUGGAGAAGCUAUCAACCUCCACUUUUCAUAAAUAAUAAUUAAAUUUUGCUCAUAAUUUUUAGGUUUUGCAUGAGACACUAAUUUUCUUAUGCACUCCAAAGUCAAUGAAAAUAUCCCCUUAAGAAUUUUAAUGUUUCCUAAGGCAAUUAAAAUAUAGUACUUGAAUAAUGGUAAGCUUAAUGUCCUCGAGAAAAGAUAGAGUGUCUUAGUUUAUAUUUCCUUUUAUGUAAAUCCACUUUGGAUUUAAAGGUAAUGU